This 1774-nucleotide ribosomal RNA is filed under the name Staphylococcus aureus. RNAcentral's name for it is "bacterial LSU rRNA". It matches the Rfam family "Bacterial large subunit ribosomal RNA", at positions 1147 to 2925 of the family's 2925-position model. The record is from RNAcentral. Lineage: Bacteria; Bacillati; Bacillota; Bacilli; Caryophanales; Staphylococcaceae.
AGUCGAGUGACACUGCGCCGAAAAUGUACCGGGGCUAAACAUAUUACCGAAGCUGUGGAUUGUCCUUUGGACAAUGGUAGGAGAGCGUUCUAAGGGCGUUGAAGCAUGAUUGUAAGGACAUGUGGAGCGCUUAGAAGUGAGAAUGCCGGUGUGAGUAGCGAAAGACGGGUGAGAAUCCCGUCCACCGAUUGACUAAGGUUUCCAGAGGAAGGCUCGUCCGCUCUGGGUUAGUCGGGUCCUAAGCUGAGGCCGACAGGCGUAGGCGAUGGAUAACAGGUUGAUAUUCCUGUACCACCUAUAAUCGUUUUAAUCGAUGGGGGGACGCAGUAGGAUAGGCGAAGCGUGCGAUUGGAUUGCACGUCUAAGCAGUAAGGCUGAGUAUUAGGCAAAUCCGGUACUCGUUAAGGCUGAGCUGUGAUGGGGAGAAGACAUUAUGUCUUCGAGUCGUUGAUUUCACACUGCCGAGAAAAGCCUCUAGAUAGAAAAUAGGUGCCCGUACCGCAAACCGACACAGGUAGUCAAGAUGAGAAUUCUAAGGUGAGCGAGCGAACUCUCGUUAAGGAACUCGGCAAAAUGACCCCGUAACUUCGGGAGAAGGGGUGCUCUUUAGGGUUAACGCCCAGAAGAGCCGCAGUGAAUAGGCCCAAGCGACUGUUUAUCAAAAACACAGGUCUCUGCUAAACCGUAAGGUGAUGUAUAGGGGCUGACGCCUGCCCGGUGCUGGAAGGUUAAGAGGAGUGGUUAGCUUCUGCGAAGCUACGAAUCGAAGCCCCAGUAAACGGCGGCCGUAACUAUAACGGUCCUAAGGUAGCGAAAUUCCUUGUCGGGUAAGUUCCGACCCGCACGAAAGGCGUAACGAUUUGGGCACUGUCUCAACGAGAGACUCGGUGAAAUCAUAGUACCUGUGAAGAUGCAGGUUACCCGCGACAGGACGGAAAGACCCCGUGGAGCUUUACUGUAGCCUGAUAUUGAAAUUCGGCACAGCUUGUACAGGAUAGGUAGGAGCCUUUGAAACGUGAGCGCUAGCUUACGUGGAGGCGCUGGUGGGAUACUACCCUAGCUGUGUUGGCUUUCUAACCCGCACCACUUAUCGUGGUGGGAGACAGUGUCAGGCGGGCAGUUUGACUGGGGCGGUCGCCUCCUAAAAGGUAACGGAGGCGCUCAAAGGUUCCCUCAGAAUGGUUGGAAAUCAUUCAUAGAGUGUAAAGGCAUAAGGGAGCUUGACUGCGAGACCUACAAGUCGAGCAGGGUCGAAAGACGGACUUAGUGAUCCGGUGGUUCCGCAUGGAAGGGCCAUCGCUCAACGGAUAAAAGCUACCCCGGGGAUAACAGGCUUAUCUCCCCCAAGAGUUCACAUCGACGGGGAGGUUUGGCACCUCGAUGUCGGCUCAUCGCAUCCUGGGGCUGUAGUCGGUCCCAAGGGUUGGGCUGUUCGCCCAUUAAAGCGGUACGCGAGCUGGGUUCAGAACGUCGUGAGACAGUUCGGUCCCUAUCCGUCGUGGGCGUAGGAAAUUUGAGAGGAGCUGUCCUUAGUACGAGAGGACCGGGAUGGACAUACCUCUGGUGUACCAGUUGUCGUGCCAACGGCAUAGCUGGGUAGCUAUGUGUGGACGGGAUAAGUGCUGAAAGCAUCUAAGCAUGAAGCCCCCCUCAAGAUGAGAUUUCCCAACUUCGGUUAUAAGAUCCCUCAAAGAUGAUGAGGUUAAUAGGUUCGAGGUGGAAGCAUGGUGACAUGUGGAGCUGACGAAUACUAAUCGAUCGAAGACUUAAUCAA